GGAUUGCUGGAUUGCUGGAUUGCUGGAUUGCUGGAUUGCUGGAUUGCUGGUUGCUAGACUCCUGGACUGCUGCUUGGGAAUAUUCCGACAGGUAAAAAUACAGUUCUGCAGCCUUCGCUUUGUGCAGGACCCCGAACCAGGCAAAGGGAA
Long non-coding RNA from Apodemus sylvaticus (European woodmouse), 150 nucleotides. RefSeq lists it as uncharacterized. The transcript is spliced from 2 exons. NCBI's taxonomy places the organism in Eukaryota, Metazoa, Chordata, Mammalia, Rodentia, Muridae. The record is from RefSeq and is a predicted model, not a curated record.